UACGGAGGGUGCAAGCGUUAUCCGGAUUCACUGGGUUUAAAGGGUGCGUAGGCGGAUUGGUAAGUCCGUGGUGAAAUCUCCGAGCUUAACUCGGAAACUGCCGUGGAUACUAUCAAUCUUGAAUAUCGUGGAGGUAAGCGGAAUAUGUCAUGUAGCGGUGAAAUGCUUAGAGAUGACAUAGAACACCAAUUGCGUAGGCAGCUUACUACACGAUCAUUGACGCUGAGGCACGAAAGCGUGGGGAGCAAACAGG
This 253-nucleotide ribosomal RNA is filed under the name uncultured bacterium. RNAcentral describes it as "partial 16S ribosomal RNA". It matches the Rfam family "Bacterial small subunit ribosomal RNA", at positions 524 to 776 of the family's 1533-position model. The record is from RNAcentral.